GCAGGGUAAUUGUGUUGUUGUGGCAGCCAAUGACACUAGAGGGUGCUCCCUAUAAAAAGCACAGGUAAACUGCAGGUUUAGAUUAGAUUGGUUGGCUGAAGACACGUCACCGUGUGGUCCAGUGUUGUGCCUGCUGGGUGCCAAGUGCAGGUGAGGUUGGCUGUCAUGCACACUUGUAAUUGUUUCAGCACAGUUACUUAUAAACUUCUGCACCAGCAGAUAACUGUCGGCAUGUUUGCCCUCACCACUGAUUGUGRGUGUAGUGGCUGCUGUGGCCAGAGUUUGUGCCCUUACGUGAUCUCCCCACAAGUGAGAGAGGAGAUUGGCAUGAUCGGAAUUGUGGGUGGCAGCUUUUAACUUGACCCCAUCAGCCCCGCUGCUGCUUUGCCUCAUUUUGAUUCUCCUGUGUUCCUACCAAAUGUUUGACUGAGGCGUGGCGCUCGAAGACACGCCCACGCCAUGGAGGAGGGGAAGCAGAGGUUUACUAUCAACAGUCUGGUGGAAUCAAUUGUUUCUCUGCUGAUAUUUUUAAACCACAACUUUCCAAUUUUAUCUGUAAAUUAAUUGUCUUUUUGGUAUUUGUUUAUUUUUUUGUUUCUAAUUUUGUUUUUAUUCUUUUAGCUCAGUGCUGAGGACCAGUGACGGUGGUGUGGUUGACCUGGAUGGCGGUGUCCCUUUUGUGUGUGCAUGCUUGCGGUGAUCAACACAGGUGGAGGGAAACCCAAGGAGUGAGUGUGGUUUCACGUGUGUUUGUAGUAGUUUGUCUUUGGGAGCCGCUCGUCCAGAAUAGGUCUGGCACCUACCGGUAAGCCUCAGUAGC
This is a long non-coding RNA of Austrofundulus limnaeus, 820 nucleotides long. RefSeq lists it as uncharacterized. The record is from RefSeq and is a predicted model, not a curated record. The transcript has 2 exons. Lineage: Eukaryota; Metazoa; Chordata; Actinopteri; Cyprinodontiformes; Rivulidae.